UAUGGGUCUCUAGUGAUACGC
RNAcentral lists this non-coding RNA (21 nucleotides) under Arabidopsis thaliana (thale cress). Lineage: Eukaryota; Viridiplantae; Streptophyta; Magnoliopsida; Brassicales; Brassicaceae. The record is from RNAcentral.